Molecule: transfer RNA, 468 nt
Filed under: uncultured Gammaproteobacteria bacterium
Lineage: Bacteria; Pseudomonadati; Pseudomonadota; Gammaproteobacteria
Description: partial 16S-23S ribosomal RNA intergenic spacer
Rfam family: tRNA (bases 128-201)
Source: RNAcentral
CCUCCUUUUAAGAGUAAGUAAGUAAGUACACACCCGCACUUCGUGCGGGCGCCCAACACAAGUUGCUUGAGCGCAUUCGGCAGAGCCCUCUGCCAACUGAGCUUUGGGGCUCAGGGCAAAGAGAAUUGGGUCUGUAGCUCAGUUGGUUAGAGCGCACCCCUGAUAAGGGUGAGGUCGGAAGUUCAACUCUUCCCAGACCCACCACUUUCGCGCCUGAAAAUGCCUGUAGGGAAUGAGUACUGCGGCAAGGCCAGACGUGAAAUAAACAGGCGAGGGGCUGUAGCUCAGUUGGGAGAGCACCUGGUUUGCAACCAGGAGGUCACCGGUUCGAGCCCGGUCAGCUCCACCAUCCAGAGACGGGCUCAGAGGUUAUUCUAACGAGUUAUCUCUGAUCCCUUCGUUGGGAUGUUCUUUAACAAUUUGGAUUGAUCCGUCUAUUGAAAUCUUUUGAUCUCAAUUGAUAGGUCG